GCUGAACGCUGGCGGCAGGCCUAACACAUGCAAGUCGAACGAGUGGCGGACGGGUGAGUAGGGUCUGGACACCUGCCUGAUGGAGGGAGCUAACGACUGGAAACGGUAGCUACUACCGCAUACCAUCCGAUGUGGCCAGAGGGGAUUAGCUAGUUGGUGGGGUAACGGCUCACCAAGGCGACGAUCCCUAGCAGGUCUGAGAGGAUGACCAGCCACACUGGAACUGAGACACGGCCCAGACUCCUACGGGAGGCAGCAGUGGGGAAUCUUGCACAAUGGGCGAAAGUCUGAUGCAGCCAGGCCGCGUGUAUGAAGAAGGCUUUCGGGUCGUAAAGCACUUUUAUCGGGGAGGCGUUACCCGCCGAAGAAGCACCGGCUAACUCCGUGCCAGCAGCCGCGGUAAUAC
This 406-nucleotide ribosomal RNA is filed under the name uncultured bacterium. Its description in RNAcentral is "partial 16S ribosomal RNA". It matches the Rfam family "Bacterial small subunit ribosomal RNA", at positions 28 to 526 of the family's 1533-position model. The record is from RNAcentral.